RNAcentral lists this ribosomal RNA (224 nucleotides) under uncultured bacterium. Its description in RNAcentral is "partial 16S ribosomal RNA". It matches the Rfam family "Bacterial small subunit ribosomal RNA", at positions 1279 to 1500 of the family's 1533-position model. The record is from RNAcentral.
AAGCCUGUCCCAGUUCGGACUGGAGUCUGCAACCCGACUCCACGAAGUUGGAUUCGCUAGUAAUCGCGCAUCAGCCAUGGCGCGGUGAAUACGUUCCCGGGCCUUGUACACACCGCCCGUCACACCAUGAGAGUCGGGAACACCCGAAGUCCGUAGCCUAACAGCAAGUGGGGGCGCGGCCGAAGGUGGGUUCGAUAAUUGGGGUGAAGUCGUAACAAGGUAUC